This is a long non-coding RNA of Osmerus eperlanus (European smelt), 1176 nucleotides long. RefSeq lists it as uncharacterized. The record is from RefSeq and is a predicted model, not a curated record. Lineage: Eukaryota; Metazoa; Chordata; Actinopteri; Osmeriformes; Osmeridae. The transcript is spliced from 4 exons.
UCUUCAGAGGUUGGCCGUCCAAGGUCUCCAACUGCACCAAGUUGUUGUCUCCAACCUCAGUCACCCUAAAGAAGACAUGCUAUAAUGGCAAAACUGGACAUCACUACCUUCUCAUUCUGACUACUGUUAAGUCUAUUUACCGGUACUUCGUUGGCCAGUCUGGAUCCAUGGUGCGUCCAGGUCUCCCACGCUUCCUCUCGUCCUUCUUCAACACCUCCAUGCCUCGGAGGACUUUGAAGCGCUUGGUCCCCUUCUUGGUCCUCCUCCGGUAGGCCUCCUGCUGUUUCUCCUGGGCCAUCUCCACGUUGAGUCGCACCUUGACCGUUCAAGAGAAAGGAAAGCAGCUAAGCUUUAUAUUGUCUGUUUUAUAACUUUGUGUCUGAUGCAUUGUUAUUACGCUAACAAUUACUUAGCAUCACUCAGAUGGGUGAUACACAUUGGUGUUACGGAAACUGAGUGCACCUUGUGGUGAAAGCUACAGUGCACAGUUGUGUAAUAUGUGAUGUAACGUUAGGUCAUUUCUCUCACCUUGUCGAAAACCACAUCAUCAUUGUUGGCCCUGGUCUGGAGGUAGUCUUCGAAGGCGCCGUCACCAGGCCCGUCAACCUCAAGCUCAUGAGGAAGGUCACCUGUGAUCUGAAAUGACAUGAUAAUACAGAACAUGCAGCAGAUAGUUGCGUGAAAUUACCUUCAGGUUAUCCUCCCACCGUUCUUGAUGCCCAUCCAGAGUCUUCCCGAUGGCCCUCUUCAGCAUGUGGUUGGUCCUCUCAUCCAGUCCGUUAGUCUGGGGAUGGUAGGCAGACGUGAUCCGAUGCUUUGCCCCCCACUUCUCGAUCAAGAUCUGGUUAACCUAAAUAAAACUCUGUGCCCUGGUCCAUCAGGAUGACCCCUGGUGCGCCAUGGGUGUGGAAGAUGACAAGAGCAGACUGCAGCGUAUCAUCCGCACUGCUGAGAAGGUGAUUGGCUGCAAUCUGCCUACCCUCGAGGACCUGCACACCUCGAGGACCCUGAGGCGAGCGAGGAAGAUUGUGGCCGACUCCUCCCACCCUGGACACUCCCUGUUUCAGUCACUCCCCUCCGGCAGAAGGCUGCGGUCCAUCAGGACCAAUACCUCACGCCACAAAAACAGUUUCUUCCCUUCCGCUGUUGGCCUCUUCAACAAGGCCAAGGGACCAC